RNAcentral lists this ribosomal RNA (378 nucleotides) under uncultured bacterium. Its description in RNAcentral is "bacterial SSU rRNA". It matches the Rfam family "Bacterial small subunit ribosomal RNA", at positions 521 to 896 of the family's 1533-position model. The record is from RNAcentral.
UAAUACGUAGGGGGCGAGCGUUGUCCGGAUUUAUUGGGCGUAAAAGGCUUGUAGGUGGCCACGCCAAGUCGGAUGUGAAAUCUCCCGGCUCAACUGGGAGGGGUCAUUCGAUACUGGCGGGCUCGAGGCCGGUAGGGGGAAGUGGAAUUCCCGGUGUAGUGGUGGAAUGCGUAGAUAUCGGGAGGAACACCAGUGGCGAAGGCGGCUUCCUGGACCGGUUCUGACACUGAGGAGCGAAAGCGUGGGGAGCGAUCCGGAUUAGAUACCCGGGUAGUCCACGCCGUAAACGUUGGGCACUAGGUGUCGGGGGUAUCGACCCCUCCGGUGCCGCAGCUAACGCAUUAAGUGCCCUGCCUGGGGAGUACGGCCGCAAGGCUA